CGUAGGGUGCAAGCGUUAAUCGGAAUUACUGGGCGUAAAGCGUGCGCAGGCGGUUGUGUAAGACAGGUGUGAAAUCCCCGGGCUUAACCUGGGAAUUGCAUUUGUGACUGCACGACUAGAGUGUGUCAGAGGGGGGUGGAAUUCCACGUGUAGCAGUGAAAUGCGUAGAUAUGUGGAGGAACACCAAUGGCGAAGGCAGCCCCCUGGGAUAACACUGACGCUCAUGCACGAAAGCGUGGGGAGCAAACAGGA
RNAcentral lists this ribosomal RNA (252 nucleotides) under uncultured Limnobacter sp. RNAcentral's name for it is "partial 16S ribosomal RNA". It matches the Rfam family "Bacterial small subunit ribosomal RNA", at positions 526 to 777 of the family's 1533-position model. The record is from RNAcentral. Lineage: Bacteria; Pseudomonadati; Pseudomonadota; Betaproteobacteria; Burkholderiales; Burkholderiaceae.